Long non-coding RNA from Carya illinoinensis, 616 nucleotides. RefSeq lists it as uncharacterized. NCBI's taxonomy places the organism in Eukaryota, Viridiplantae, Streptophyta, Magnoliopsida, Fagales, Juglandaceae. The record is from RefSeq and is a predicted model, not a curated record. The transcript is spliced from 2 exons.
UCCCCUAUUUUACAAAAAUAGGAUGUCAACAGCUGCAGUUGAUUCUCAUGCAUUAUUUGUUCUCUCUUUUUAUGGUGGUUGCUUAGGGACUGUUAUAGUAUAGUAUUUAUUAUUCAGUUUAAGGAGCCAAAGUUUUGGAGUUUUACUUAAUCCUCUAUUGGGGGAUAAUGGUUAGGUUUUGUUCUCUUUCACGAGCCAAGGUUACGGAUUUCAAACUUUUACUCUAUACCCCUCCCAAUUCACAACAGAACUUGUUGACUGGGAACUUUUGACAUAGAGUCCAUGUAGAAGUUGGCAUUUCUAUUGAUGGUUCAGAUUAUAGAUAUGCAUAAAAAAUGAUCCAAUUUGUAAAUGUGACCAGAUUGUGGCAUAUAAUUUGUCAUGGAUUUCAUUGUAUAUCAAGCCAAAUCAAUCUCAAAUGACUUAACAUUCAAAUGUUGAUCUAAACAUAUUGCCAAGUACAUUCAUACGUUGCCAUAUAGAAUGUUAUCUCAAAUGAUUGAUAAAGUUCAGUGUACCUGGGCUAUGCCCAUCUUUAUCUUAAUAAAGCUUUUUAUUACCUAUCAAAAAAAAAAAAAAGAAAUGAUUGAUAAAGAGUUAUGGUUUGGAUCACCAA